Molecule: long non-coding RNA, 975 nt
Organism: Pseudopipra pipra
Lineage: Eukaryota; Metazoa; Chordata; Aves; Passeriformes; Pipridae
Exons: 3
Source: RefSeq, a predicted model, not a curated record
AUCAAUAUCUGGGAAAAUAAGAUUCAGCUGAAGUGUUGGGUUUUCUUUAACCUAUAGAAUGACAUAGGCUGAGAAGGACGUCCUUUCCGUACACCUCUUCAGAGCCAUCCUGCUCAAGCUAAUACAAAUUUAGGUGUUUCUAUAUGGUGAUUUUUUUUUUAAAGGAAAGAUACUUGUUCUGCAAUUUUUCUAAGGUUGUUCUCAAAGGCGGGUCCCACCGCCUCGUGCAGACCCUGCUCAGCAAGAGCAUCACACCCCGACCCCAACAAUUCACCAUCCAAAGGGCUACAAAGACGUUCCAAGCACAGAUUUUCUCCCGUCUGCGCACGAAGACGGCUACGGACAUUCCAGCCCCGCUCCCUGCACAGCUUAGGCACCCAUCGAUGGCAGCUGGGCAAAGGUUUCUGCAACACCCUAGAGCUGAUCAUUGAUCUCUCACAGCCACACUGCCAACAAAAAGGAAAGUUUUCCGGUCACCAGCCCGUCACGUGCUCAGGAUAUCCUUUCAGCUUCCAUUCCGCCUGCCUCUGGCCAGCUCACUGCAGCAAUGGGCUGCUUUGGGAGUUGGAACAGCUUGGAGACAUUCAAGCAAGAGACAGGGCUGCAUGAUGUCCCAUUCCAGGGUGGGGACAGAAGUGGCCCAGCCAGCUGCUGCCAGCUCUGGGUUCCUGGGAAAGCAGUGGCUGAUCCUGCCAGGAGCCCAGUGCAAAGAGAAUGAUGGAGAUGAUACAGGCAUGACCACAGGUCAGAGGGGCUGAAGCCCAGCACUUCACUUCUGGUCUGAAAGUCCUUCAGAAAAAAAAGAACAAACCAUUUUAAAAGGGCACAGAAAAGAAAAUGGUGCAGUUAUUGGCCCCAGCAGUCAGUCUCUUGUCAUAGGCUGCUGCCUUCAGCUGCUGGUCCAGCUCAGAGAGCUGAGACCACAUAAUUUUCUGUAACAUUGCUCAACUGUGAUUCGAAUAAAGCAUUAGAUGG